CCGGGAACUCGGCAAAUUGACACCGUAACUUCGGGAGAAGGUGUGCCGCUGGCGGUUAGUGACUUCGCGUCACGAAGCUGUCGGUGGUCGCAGUGAAAUGGCGGUUGUGACUGUUUACUAAAAACACAGGACUCUGCGAAGUCGUAAGACGACGUAUAGGGUCUGAUGCCUGCCCGGUGCUGGAAGGUUAAGGGGAUAUGUCAGCGCAAGCGAAGCAUUGAACCGAAGCCCCAGUAAACGGCGGCCGUAACGAUAACGGUCCUAAGGUAGCGAAAUUCCUUGUCGGGUAAGUUCCGACCUGCACGAGGGCAUAACAACAUCCGCACUGUCUCGACCAGGGACUCAGCGAAAUUACAUUGGGGGUGAAGAUGCCCUCUACCCGCGGAAAGACGGAGAGACCCCAUGAACCUUUACUGCAACUUGGCAGUGAUUUUCGGGUUGUUCUGCGUAGGAUAGGUGGGAGGCUUUGAAGCCGGGCUUCCGGGUUCGGCAGAGCCAACGUUGAAAUACCACCCUGAAUAAUCUGGAAAUCUAACCUGCGCCCAUGAUCUGGGCGAGGGACACUGCCUGGUGGGCAGUUUGACUGGGGCGGUCGCCUCCUAAAUUGUAACGGAGGCGUGCGACGGUUCCCUCAGGCUGAUUGGAAACCAGCCGUAGAGUGCAAACGCAUAAGGGAGCUUUACUGCGAGACUGACAAGUCGAACAGUUGCGAAAGCAGGUGUUAGUGAUCCGGUGGUACCACAUGGAAGGGCCAUCGCUCAUCGGAUAAAAGGUACUCUGGGGAUAACAGGCUGAUCGCGCCUGAGAGUUCACAUCGGCGGCGCGGUUUGGCACCUCGAUGUCGGCUCAUCGCAUCCUGGGGCUGGAGCAGGUCCCAAGGGUUUGGCUGUUCGCCAAUUAAAGCGGUACACGAGCUGGGUUUAAAACGUCGUGAGACAGUUUGGUCCCUAUCUUCCGUGGGCGCAGGACACUUGAGAGGAGCUAUCCAUAGUACGAGAGGACCUGGAUGGACGAACCUCUGGUGCUCCGGUUGUCACGCCAGUGGCAUAGCCGGGUAGCCAUGUUCGGAACAGAUAACCGCUGAAGGCAUAUAAGCGGGAAGCUGGCCUCAAGACUAGGUGUCCCUGACGCAAGUCACUAAAGGCCCCUCGAAGACUACGAGGUUGAUAGGCUCGGUGUGGAAGCGCUGCGAGGCGUGGAGCUAACGAGUACUAAUAGGCCGUGCGACUUGACCUC
This 1236-nucleotide ribosomal RNA is filed under the name metagenome. Its description in RNAcentral is "bacterial LSU rRNA". It matches the Rfam family "Bacterial large subunit ribosomal RNA", at positions 1706 to 2925 of the family's 2925-position model. The record is from RNAcentral.